This is a non-coding RNA of Cricetulus griseus (Chinese hamster), 290 nucleotides long. The record is from Rfam. Lineage: Eukaryota; Metazoa; Chordata; Mammalia; Rodentia; Cricetidae.
GGAUGUGAGGGUGAUCUGGCUGCUACAUUCUGUCACCCCAUUCAUUACCAGGGUUGAUUCAGCUGAUCUGGCCGGCUAGUCGGGUGUCACCUUCCUCCAUUACCACUCCACGUGCAUCCCUCCUGAAGAUGCACUCUGCUCUGUUGACCUUCCUGAAUAUAGGAGAACCAGGGUUUUUGGUCAAGGGUAUACAAGUAGCUGUGCUCCCCUGCUGCAACCUUUAAGUAAGUUCUCAAGGUGACUGAUUUCACAUUCAAUUUAUUAUUAUUAUUAUUAUUAUUAUUAUUAUU